UAGUUCACGACAAUCCACGUGCCACACGGCUGCCGCACGUCAAACCUCACAUUCGCAACCAUGAAGCUGCUGAUCGCAAUCACCGCUCUUAUUGCCGUUGCGGCGGCUCUUCCCCAAAGGAAGGUUUCGUUGAAGCCAGAACAGCAAGUGGAAGACCAACUCCCACUUGAACAAAACUUCAACAACUAUCAGCCCCAGCAACAGGAAUAUAGACAAGCAAAACCAGUCGAUGACUUCAGACCUAAAGUCCAAUUGGAGACCAGUACCUACAUCCCCAUUAUCCGUUUCGAUAAGGAACAAGGAACCGACGGAAGCUACAAAACUUCAUAUGAAACUGGUAACAACAUUCAGGCUCAAGAGCAGGGUUAUUUGAAGACAGUCGGUGAUAACCAAGACAACACUGCUCUGGUCCAACAGGGAUCCUAUACAUACACAGCCCCUGAUGGUCAAGUCAUUACCGUCGAGUACACCGCUGACGAGUUCGGUUUCAGAGUUUCCGGUGACCACAUCCCUACCCCUCCCCCUGUAUCGGCUGAAAUUCAAAAAGGCCUUGACCUUAUCUACGCCGGCAUCAAGGCUAACCAGGUAAAGUCUGAUUAUUAAUACCGAAUGUCAAUGACAGCGAAAGUGAAGACGAACGAAUUAAUUACGUAAAAGAUGUUCAACAUUAAAAUAUAAAACUGUUCAUGAUUCGGAGACUAUGCUCGCGCUUAAACUGGGUCAAGUUUCGAAUAUUUCGAUAAAUCUAUUGGUUUUUUUUUUUAAAUAUAUUUUAAUUAAUUUUUACAAUUUAAUCUCACGUUUUUUUUUAAUUGUGGGUUGUUAAUAAUUUACAAUGCUUCAAAUACUCUACGGUUUUCGUGAUUUCGGUGGUCGUGGUGCUCGAUGAUGGGCAUAAAGUCUUCGAGACGUCGGAAAUUAUAUAAUGACAAUAGAAAAAGUGGGAUUAAACCAUAAAAGUAAUUUUAAAUAAUCUACUACUCGCGAAAAGUUUUUAAUCAAUAAACUGUUAUUUUUUUGUCAUUUUUAGGAACGCGCCGCCAUAGAAGCCAAGUCAAACCCCGAAGCUGCCAGACAACAAGAAGAGAAAGCCGCUCUCGAUUACAAAGGUCAAUACUACCAGCAAUAAUUAACUAGUGCGAUAUCUCAAGUAAACGUAGUUUAGACCUAAGUAAUUCGAGAUCCGCAAUAUGUACUUUGACGUAAUGUUGUGUCCUGCUCACUCUUAAUGAUUUCAAGUACGUUAAAGUAGAACAGAAUAUUAUGUCGCAGAACAAACCGUCAUCUUGUUGGUGAAAACAGACAUGAUGGACAUUCAACACUCUCGUCUCUGCCGACCAAUAAGAAUUAAUAUAAAGGAUGUAAUUCUACAUCUACUUUUGUUCAUAGCAGACUGACUAGCUUACUUUAUGAACUUUAUCUAAAUACGUAGCUUGACGAGCUUUGGAAAAUUUUAGAACCUGUAAUAUAAUUAAGCCAUGAAUGUGUUCGACAAGAGUUCAUCUCUUUUUUUUGUUUCAAAUUCAAAGCUUUAAAUAUUUCACUUUUACGAACAUUCGAAAUUGAUUUUCCGUAAACAAAUUGAUAACUACCUUGUACAAGUCUAGAUAAAUCUGAAUUUCAAACCACAUAUUAUCUUAAACAUGUAUAAGAACUUAAGCGCACCUUAAUACUAGAAAUAGAAAUAUCAUUAUUUCACAUUUAAUUAAGUUAUAUAAGCAUAAAAUGCACUGUUAUCACAGCACCUAAUCAUAAAAUAGGUUUAACAAUCUCUAUAUACAAGAAAUCUGGUGACUCUCUGUGCCAUUAGCUUCAAACAUGUAGAAUCAAGAAAUAUUUCCUACAUCACUAAAUCAAAUACAACGACAGUAACUAGCCUGUAAGAACAAUGUUUCAACUUUUGUAAAUAAGUUUUUACCUACUCUUGUUAAUAAAGAAAAAUGUUUUAAAUGA
This is an RNA transcript of Bombyx mori (domestic silkworm), 1953 nucleotides long. It is a transcript of the gene named cuticular protein RR-1 motif 34, with no coding region annotated. NCBI's taxonomy places the organism in Eukaryota, Metazoa, Arthropoda, Insecta, Lepidoptera, Bombycidae. The transcript is spliced from 4 exons. The record is from RefSeq and is marked provisional.